RNAcentral lists this ribosomal RNA (253 nucleotides) under uncultured bacterium. RNAcentral describes it as "partial 16S ribosomal RNA". It matches the Rfam family "Bacterial small subunit ribosomal RNA", at positions 524 to 776 of the family's 1533-position model. The record is from RNAcentral.
UACGUAGGGGGCAAGCGUUGUCCGGAUUUAUUGGGCGUAAAGAGCGUGUAGGCGGCCAUACAGGUCAGCUGUGAAAACUCGAGGCUCAACCUCGGGACGUCGGUUGAAACCGUAUGGCUAGAGUCCGGAAGAGGAGAGUGGAAUUCCCGGUGUAGCGGUGAAAUGCGCAGAUAUCAGGAAGAACACCGGUGGCGAAGGCGGUGGGCUGGGCCGGCACUAACGCUGAGGAGCGAAAGCGUGGGGAGCGAACAGG